GUGAAACGGAUGAAAGUGAAAAUGAAGAUUAAUUUUAAUUAAUUUGUGCGAUUUUUCCUACUUCUUCUUCUUCUUCUUCUUAUCUUUCUUCUC
Molecule: non-coding RNA, 93 nt
Filed under: Aureoumbra lagunensis
Lineage: Eukaryota; Pelagophyceae; Sarcinochrysidales; Sarcinochrysidaceae
Source: RNAcentral